RNAcentral lists this ribosomal RNA (389 nucleotides) under uncultured bacterium. Its description in RNAcentral is "bacterial SSU rRNA". It matches the Rfam family "Bacterial small subunit ribosomal RNA", at positions 29 to 420 of the family's 1533-position model. The record is from RNAcentral.
AUUGAACGCUGGCGGCAUGCCUUACACAUGCAAGUCGAACGGCAGCACGGGGGCAACCCUGGUGGCGAGUGGCGAACGGGUGAGUAAUACAUCGGAACGUGCCCAGUAGUGGGGGAUAGCCCGGCGAAAGCCGGAUUAAUACCGCAUAAGACCUACGGGUGAAAGCGGGGGAUCGCAAGACCUCGCGCUAGUGGAGCGGCCGAUGUCAGAUUAGGUUGUUGGUGGGGUAAAGGCCACCAAGCCGACGAUCUGUAGCUGGUCUGAGAGGACGACCAGCCACACUGGGACUGAGACACGGCCCAGACUCCUACGGGAGGCAGCAGUGGGGAAUUUUGGACAAUGGGCGCAAGCCUGAUCCAGCCAUGCCGCGUGCGGGAAGAAGGCCUCGG